RNAcentral lists this long non-coding RNA (1388 nucleotides) under Heterocephalus glaber (naked mole-rat). Its description in RNAcentral is "lncRNA (ENSHGLG00100033932.1)". The record is from RNAcentral. Lineage: Eukaryota; Metazoa; Chordata; Mammalia; Rodentia; Bathyergidae.
CCAGUGUCCUUUGAAUAUUAGAUUUUUCUAGUUUGGCUGUGCAUGGUUUCUUAUGUUUUAACAAUACCUACUUCAUCCAUGAGCCAGAAUGGAUGGAAAUCUUUGCUAGGAGAUGAGCCCUGUAAUGUUUUUCACUGGGCAAAUGCAUGACAAAGCCUUUUGAUGAGACUGAAGAGAAACACAUGAAUAAAAACAGUUGCUGUUUGAACUUUUCCUGCAGAUGGCACUGGUGCUACUUAGAUAAAGAAAACAUCUGUUCUCAGCAGAUUUUAGUUCAUUGUAUACACUGGAAAGGCUCAUAUGUGCUAGGAAACUAAGUAGAUGUCUUGCAAUAAGUACUCACUUAUGUGUGCAUGAUUGAGCCCCAGCAUAGUUUAGCUAUUCCUUUUAGAAGUCUACUUUUCAAUUAAUGCAUUCACAUGGACAAUAAAAUCUGAUUGAGUAUUCUUUUUGACUAGGGAACAGGAGUAUGACCGAAAUCACAUUGAAAAGUAAAGCUCUAGGACACUUCUCCAGUUGCACAUGCUUGAAAACUCCAGGCUAGCCUGUGAAUGCAUAAAUAUCUCAGGAAAUUGGAGGAAGGUUGAAUGGACUAUUUUAAACUGCUGCUUCUAUUUUAAGUCCUGAUUCUUUUACUUACUGAUCUGCACAAGAUACCUAACACCACUGAGCCUCAGUUUCCUCAAUUAGAAAAUAAGAAUGUGACUCCUCUCCCUUCAAGGACUGUGUGAAGAUUAAAAAUGAUACAUACAGAGUACAGCCUAGAGAGAAGACAGCUUGGUUCCAAUUGCCAAUAUGUAGGGUAAAGCACAAUUUCAAGUUCUCUCAUACGACAGAGAUGGUUUGAAACCCAACCGAAAAGACUUCAGCAAUAUUCAGGAUAACUGCCAUGAACUAAAGCAAGCAUCUUUAAAAUUUUUUUUCUCUUUUCAUUGCAGCUGACUUUGGGAUCUGUAAUUUAUGAGCUGCCAUGGAAACAAGUCACAUGUGUGAGUUCCCAUAGCAAAAGUGGCAGCCUAUGAAUGGUGAAUAUUCAAGGUGGCACCAGAGUCAUCUGUGCUGAGAAUAGUUCAGUACUAAAACAUUCAGAGAUCUUAGUAGUCAUAGAACAGAAAGGGCACUGUUUCAGUGAACAAAAUGACAAUUGCCUAAUACACCUGCUGAUUUCCACCUGCCUGUUUAGAUAUAAAUAGUAAUUCCCCAGUGUAGGUACAUCAGUAUGCAUAUUUACAUUUUGAUCAGGGCACACUAAUUUUUUUCCAAAAAUAAUGAAUACAUUAUUAUUAAGAAUAUUGAUUUAAUAUUUUAGUGUUAAUUAGCUUGGUUCCAGCCAAAGACAUAUUUGGUAUUUUAAAGCAGUCUUGAAACAUUGCUCUCUUCAUAUAAUG